Molecule: ribosomal RNA, 240 nt
Filed under: uncultured bacterium
Lineage: Bacteria
Description: partial 16S ribosomal RNA
Rfam family: Bacterial small subunit ribosomal RNA
Source: RNAcentral
AAUCCUGACUCAGGAUGAACGCUGGCGGCGUGCCUAACACAUGCAAGUCGAGCGAAGCGCUUUGCUUAGAUUCUUCGGAUGAAGAGGAUUGUGACUGAGCGGCGGACGGGUGAGUAACGCGUGGGUAACCUGCCCCAUACAGGGGGAUAACAGUUAGAAAUGACUGCUAAUACCGCAUAAGACCACAGCACCGCAUGGUGCGGGGGUAAAAAACUCCGGUGGUAUGAGAUGGACCCGCGU